This 510-nucleotide ribosomal RNA is filed under the name uncultured Bacteroides sp. RNAcentral's name for it is "bacterial SSU rRNA". It matches the Rfam family "Bacterial small subunit ribosomal RNA", at positions 27 to 524 of the family's 1533-position model. Lineage: Bacteria; Pseudomonadati; Bacteroidota; Bacteroidia; Bacteroidales; Bacteroidaceae. The record is from RNAcentral.
GGAUGAACGCUAGCUACAGGCUUAACACAUGCAAGUCGAGGGGCAGCAUGGUCUUAGCUUGCUAAGGCUGAUGGCGACCGGCGCACGGGUGAGUAACACGUAUCCAACCUGCCGUCUACUCUUGGCCAGCCUUCUGAAAGGAAGAUUAAUCCAGGAUGGGAUCAUGAGUUCACAUGUCCGCAUGAUUAAAGGUAUUUUCCGGUAGACGAUGGGGAUGCGUUCCAUUAGAUAGUAGGCGGGGUAACGGCCCACCUAGUCAACGAUGGAUAGGGGUUCUGAGAGGAAGGUCCCCCACAUUGGAACUGAGACACGGUCCAAACUCCUACGGGAGGCAGCAGUGAGGAAUAUUGGUCAAUGGGCGAUGGCCUGAACCAGCCAAGUAGCGUGAAGGAUGACUGCCCUAUGGGUUGUAAACUUCUUUUAUAAAGGAAUAAAGUCGGGUAUGCAUACCCGUUUGCAUGUACUUUAUGAAUAAGGAUCGGCUAACUCCGUGCCAGCAGCCGCGGUAAU